GACGAACGCUGGCGGCAUGCCUAAUACAUGCAAGUCGAGCGAACAGAUGAAGUGCUUGCACUUCUGACGUUAGCGGCGAACGGGUGAGUAACACGUAAGGAAUCUACCUAUAAGCGGGGGAUAACAUUCGGAAACGGGUGCUAAUACCGCAUAAUAUCUUCUUCCGCAUGGAAGAAGAUUGAAAGACGGCUCUGCUGUCACUUAUAGAUGACCUUGCGGUGCAUUAGUUAGUUGGUGGGGUAACGGCCUACCAAGACGAUGAUGCAUAGCCGACCUGAGAGGGUGAUCGGCCACAUUGGGACUGAGACACGGCCCAAACUCCUACGGGAGGCAGCAGUAGGGAAUCUUCCGCAAUGGGCGAAAGCUUGACGGAGCAAUGCCGCGUGAGUGAAGAAGGCCUUCGGGUCGUAAAACUCUGUUAUAAGAGAAGAACAAAUUGUAGAGUAACUGCUACAGUCUUGACGGUAUCUCAUCAGAAAGCCACGGCUAACUACGUGCCAGCCGCCGCCGUAA
Molecule: ribosomal RNA, 513 nt
Filed under: uncultured bacterium
Lineage: Bacteria
Description: partial 16S ribosomal RNA
Rfam family: Bacterial small subunit ribosomal RNA
Source: RNAcentral